UUCCGGUUGAUCCUGCCGGAGGCUACCGCUAUUGGAGUUCGAUUAAGCCAUGCGAGUCGCGAGAAAUUAGAUUCUCGGCGUACCGCUCAGUAACACGUGGGUAACCUGCCCUAUGCUGGAUAAUAACCUCGGGAAACUGAGAAUAAUGAUCCAUAGUUCACUACGCCUGGAACGGUGAGUGGAUGAAAGCUCCGGCGGCAUAGGAUGGGCCUGCGGCGUAUCAGGUUGUAGGGGGUGUAACGUACCCUCUAGCCCUCUACGCGUACGGGUGUUGGGAGACAUAGCCCGGAGAUGGAUUCUGAGACACGAAUCCAGACCCUACGGGGUGCAGCAGGCGCGAAAACUUGGCAAUGCGAGAAAUCGUGACCAGGGAACUCCAAGUGCAUGGGGUAAGACCCAUGCUUUUCUUGACUCUAAAUAGGUCUUGGAAUAAGGGGUGGGUAAGGACGGUGCCAGCCGCCGCGGUAAUACCGGCGCCUCAAGUGGUAGUCGCUUUUAUUGGGCCUAAAACGUCCGUAGCCGGUCUGAUACAUUCGUGGGUAAAUCAACCAGCUUAACUGGUUGAAUUCUGCGAGGACGGUCAGACUUGGGACCGGGAGAGGUGUGGGGUACGCUCAGGGUAGGGGUAAAAUCCUGUCAUCCUGAGCGGACCACCUGUUGCGAAGGCGCCACACUAGAACGGAUCCGACGGUCAGGGACGAAGCCUAGGGGCACGAACCGGAUUAGAUACCCGGGUAGUCCCAGCUGUAAACUAUGCAAACUCAGUGAUGCAUUGGCUUGUGGCCAAUGCAGUGCUGCAGGGAAGCCGUUAAGUUUGCCGCCUGGGAAGUACGUACGCAAGUAUGAAACUUAAAGGAAUUGGCGGGGGAGCACCACAAGGGGUGAAGCCUGCGGUUCAAUUGGAGUCAACGCCGGA
RNAcentral lists this ribosomal RNA (916 nucleotides) under uncultured marine archaeon. Its description in RNAcentral is "bacterial SSU rRNA". It matches the Rfam family "Archaeal small subunit ribosomal RNA", at positions 1 to 922 of the family's 1478-position model. The record is from RNAcentral.